UACGGAAGGCAGCAGUGGGGAAUAUUGCACAAUGGGCGCAAGCCUGAUGCAGCCAUGCCGCGUGUAUGAAAAAGGCCUUCGGGUUGUAAAGUACUUUCAGUCGUGAGGAAGGUGUUAAGGUUAAUAACCUUAGCAAUUGACGUUAGCGACAGAAGAAGCACCGGCUAACUCCGUGCCAGCAGCCGCGGUAAUACGGAGGGUGCGAGCGUUAAUCGGAAUUACUGGGCGUAAAGGGCACGCAGGCGGUUAAUUAAGUUGGAUGUGAAUCCCCGGGCUUAACCUGGGAAUGGCAUUCAAGACUGGUUAGCUAGAGUCUUGUAGAGGGGGUAGAAUUCCAUGUGUAGCGGUGAAAUGCGUAGAGAUGUGGAGGAAUACCGGUGGCGAAGGCGGCCCCUGGACAAAGACCUGACGCUCAUGUGCGAAAGCGUGGGGAGCAAACAGGGAUUAGAUACC
Molecule: ribosomal RNA, 453 nt
Filed under: uncultured bacterium
Lineage: Bacteria
Description: bacterial SSU rRNA
Rfam family: Bacterial small subunit ribosomal RNA
Source: RNAcentral